UACGGAGGAGGCAAGCGUUAUCCGGAAUUAUUGGGCGUAAAGAGCUCGUAGGCGGUUUGUCGCGUCUGCCGUGAAAGUCCGGGGCUCAACUCCGGGCCUGCAGUGGGUACGGGCAGACUAGAGUGCGGUAGGGGAGACUGGAAUUCCUGGUGUAGCGGUGAAAUGCGCAGAUAUCAGGAGGAACACCGGUGGCGAAGGCGGGUCUCUGGGCCGUAACUGACGCUGAGGAGCGAAAGCGUGGGGAGCGAACAGG
This 253-nucleotide ribosomal RNA is filed under the name uncultured bacterium. RNAcentral describes it as "partial 16S ribosomal RNA". It matches the Rfam family "Bacterial small subunit ribosomal RNA", at positions 524 to 776 of the family's 1533-position model. The record is from RNAcentral.